RNAcentral lists this ribosomal RNA (253 nucleotides) under uncultured bacterium. RNAcentral describes it as "partial 16S ribosomal RNA". It matches the Rfam family "Bacterial small subunit ribosomal RNA", at positions 524 to 776 of the family's 1533-position model. The record is from RNAcentral.
UACGGAGGGCGCAAGCGUUGUUCGGAAUCAUUGGGCGUAAAGCGCGUGUAGGCGGUCUGGUCAGUCGGGUGUGAAAUACUGGAGAUCAACUCCGGAACUGGAUUCGAUACUGCCAGGCUAGAGUCCCGGAGAGCGUGGUGGAAUUCCCGGUGUAGAGGUGAAAUUCGUAGAUAUCGGGAGGAACAUCAGCGGCGAAGGCGGCCACUUGGACGGUGACUGACGCUGAGACGAGAAAUCGUGGGGAGCAAACUGG